Molecule: ribosomal RNA, 634 nt
Filed under: Penicillium glabrum
Lineage: Eukaryota; Fungi; Ascomycota; Eurotiomycetes; Eurotiales; Aspergillaceae
Description: eukaryotic LSU rRNA
Rfam family: Eukaryotic large subunit ribosomal RNA
Source: RNAcentral
UUGACCUCGGAUCAGGUAGGGAUACCCGCUGAACUUAAGCAUAUCAAUAAGCGGAGGAAAAGAAACCAACAGGGAUUACCUCAGUAACGGCGAGUGAAGCGGUAAGAGCUCAAAUUUGAAAGCUGGCUCCUUCGGGGUCCGCAUUGUAAUUUGCAGAGGAUGUUUCGGGAGCAGCCCCCAUCUAAGUGUCCUGGAACGGACCGUCAUAGAGGGUGAGAAUCCCGUAUGGGAUGGGGUGUCUGCGCCCAUGUGAAACUCCUUCGACGAGUCGAGUUGUUUGGGAAUGCAGCUCUAAAUGGGUGGUAAAUUUCAUCUAAAGCUAAAUAUUGGCCGGAGACCGAUAGCGCACAAGUAGAGUGAUCGAAAGAUGAAAAGCACUUUGAAAAGAGAGUUAAAAAGCACGUGAAAUUGUUGAAAGGGAAGCGCUUGCGAUCAGACUCGCCUUGGGGGUUCAGCCGGCAUUCGUGCCGGUGUACUUCCCCCAGGGCGGGCCAGCGUCGGUUUGGGUGGCCGGUCAAAGGCCCUUGGAAUGUAACGCCUCUCGGGGCGUCUUAUAGCCAAGGGUGCCAUGCGGCCUACCUGGACCGAGGAACGCGCUUCGGCUCGGACGCUGGCAUAAUGGUCGUAAGCGACC